GGCAGUCAGUGGGAGAGAGGAUUUCCGUACAGACAUGUCCUGAGAGUCACUGUGAGUGGGGACACCAUAACCACCGCGGGCAGCUCUGAUAUGACAUACAGGAUUGUUACUGCUUUACUAACUAUAGUGACAUGGAAACAAAUCCCCUAACCCACAACUAAUGUAUCCACCUACCUUAUAUAGAGACCUACCUUAUAUAGAGACCUGCCUUCUGUAUCCACCUACCUUAUAUAGAGACCUACCUUAUAUAGAGACCUACCUUCUGUAUCCACCUACCUAAUAUAGAGACCUGCAUUAUAUAGAGACCUACCUUCUGUAUCCACCUACCUUAUAGAGAGACCUACCUUAUAUAGAGACCUACCUUCUGUAUCCACCUACCUUAUAUAGAGACCUACCUUCUGUAUCCACCUACCUUAUAUAGAGACCUACCUUCUGUAUCCACCUACCUUAUAUAGAGACCUACCUUAUAUAGAGACCUACCUUCUGUAUCCACCUACCUUAUAUAGAGACCUACCUUAUAUAGAGACCUACCUUCUGUAUCCACCUACCUUAUAUAGAGACCUACCUUAUAUAGAGACCUACCUUCUGUAUCCACCUACCUUAUAUAGAGACCUACCUUAUAUAGAGACCUACCUUAUAUAGAGACCUACCUUCUGUAUCCACCUACCUUAUAUAGAGACCUACCUUAUAUAGAGACCUACCUUCUGUAUGCACCUACCUUAUAUAGAGACCUACCUUCUGUAUGCACCUACCUUAUAUAGAGACCUACCUUCUGUAUGCACCUACCUUAUAUAGAGACCUGCCUUCUGUAUCCACCUACCUUCUAUAAAGACCUGCCUUCUGUAUCCACCUACCUUCUAUAGAGACCUACCUUCUGUAUCCACCUACCUUAUAUAGAGACCUACCUUCUGUAUCCACCUACCUUAUAUAGAGACCUACCUUCUGUAUCCACCUACCUUCUGUAUCCACCUACCUUCUGUAUCCACCUACCUUCUGUAUCCACCUACCUUAUAGAGAGACCUACCUUAUAUAGAGACCUACCUUCUGUAUCCACCUACCUAAUAUAGAGACCUGCAUUAUAUAGAGACCUACCUUCUGUAUCCACCUACCUUAUAUAGAGACCUACCUUAUAUAGAGACCUACCUUCUGUAUCCACCUACCUUAUAUAGAGACCUACCUUAUAUAGAGACCUACCUUCUGUAUCCACCUACCUUAUAUAGAGACCUACCUUAUAUAGAGACCUGCCUUAUAUAGAGACCUGCCUUCUGUAUCCACCUACCUUAUAUAGAGACCUACCUUCUAUAGAGACCUACCUUCUGUAUCCACCUACCUUCUAUAGAGACCUACCUUCUGUAUCCACCUACCUUCUAUAGAGACCUACCUUCUAUAUCCACCUACCUUCUAUAGAGACCUACCUUCUGUAUCCACCUACCUUCUAUAGAGACCUACCUUCUGUAUCCACCUACCUUCUAUAGAGACCUACCUUCUGUAUCCACCUACCUUCUAUAGAGACCUACCUUCUGUAUCCACCUACCUUCUAUAGAGACCUACCUUCUGUAUCCACCUACCUUAUAUAGAGACCUACCUUCUGUAUCCACCUACCUUCUAUAGAGACCUACCUUCUGUAUCCACCUACCUUCUAUAGAGACCUACCUUCUAUAGAGACCUACCUUCUGUAUCCACCUACCUUCUAUAGAGACCUACCUUCUGUAUCCACCUACCUUAUAUAGAGACCUACCUUCUGUAUCCACCUACCUUAUAUAGAGACCUACCUUCUGUAUCCACCUACCUUAUGAGAGAGACCUACCUUCUGUAUCCACCUACCUUAUAUAGAGACCUACCUUAUAUAGAGACCUGCCUUCUGUAUCCACCUACCUUAUAUAGAGACCUACCUUAUAUAGAGACCUGCCUUCUGUAUCCACCUACCUUAUAUAGAGACCUACCUUAUAUAGAGACCUGCCUUCCUGCCUUCUGUAUCCACCUACCUUAUAUAGAGACCUACCUUCUAUAGAGACCUACCUUCUGUAUCCACCUACCUUCUAUAGAGACCUACCUUCUGUAUCCACCUACCUUCUAUAGAGACCUACCUUCUGUAUCCACCUACCUUCUAUAGAGACCUACCUUCUGUAUCCACCUACCUUAUAUAGAUACCUACCUUCUGUAUCCACCUACCUUCUAUAGAGACCUACCUUCUAUAGAGACCUACCUUCUAUAGAGACCUACCUUCUAUAGAGACCUACCUUCUAUAGAGACCUACCUUCUGUAUCCACCUACCUUCUAUAGAGACCUACCUUCUGUAUCCACCUACCUUAUAUAGAGACCUACCUUCUGUAUCCACCUACCUUAUAUAGAGACCUACCUUCUGUAUCCACCUACCUUAUAUAGAGACCUACCUUCUAUAGAGACCUACCUUCUGUAUCCACCUACCUUAUAUAGAGACCUACCUUCUAUAGAGACCUACCUUCUGUAUCCACCUACCUUCUAUAGAGACCUACCUUCUCCACCUACCUUAUAUAGAGACCUACCUUCUGUAUCCACCUACCUUAUAUAGAGACCUACCUUCUGUAUCCUACCUAAUAUAGAGACCUACCUUCUGUAUCCACCUACCUUCUAUAGAGACCGGCCUUCUGUAUCCACCUACCUUCUGUAUCCACCUACCUUAUAUAGAGACCUACCUUCUGUAUCCACCUACCUUCUGUAUCCACCUACCUUCUAUAGAGACCUACCUUCUGUAUCCACCUACCUUGCUUGUACCUGAGUUAGUGUUAGCUAGGCACCCAUAUUUAGAUAUAUUUAUAGUUCUAUAUUAGGUACUUCUACAGGGAGUGCAGAAUUAUUAGGCAAGUUGUAUUUUUGAGGAUUAAUUUUAUUAUUGAACAACAACCAUGUUCUCAAUGAACCCAAAAAACUCAUUAAUAUCAAAGCUGAAUAUUUUUGGAAGUAGUUUUUAGUUUGUUUUUAGUUUUAGCUAUGUUAGGGGGAUAUCUGUGUGUGCAGGUGACUAUUACUGUGCAUAAUUAUUAGGCAACUUAACAAAAAACAAAUAUAUACCCAUUUCAAUUAUUUAUUAUUACCAGUGAAACCAAUAUAACAUCUCAACAUUCACAAAUAUACAUUUCUGACAUUCAAAAACAAAACAAAAACAAAUCAGUGACCAAUAUAGCCACCUUUCUUUGCAAGGACACUCAAAAGCCUGCCAUCCAUAGAUUCUGUCAGUGUUUUGAUCUGUUCACCAUCAACAUUGCGUGCAGCAGCAACCACAGCCUCCCAGACACUGUUCAGAGAGGUGUACUGUUUUCCCUCCUUGUAAAUCUCACAUUUGAUGAUGGACCACAGGUUCUCAAUGGGGUUCAGAUCAGGUGAACAAGGAGGCCAUGUCAUUAGAUUUUCUUCUUUUAUAACCUUUCUUGCCAGCCACACUGUGGAGUACUUGGACGCGUGUGAUGGAGCAUUGUCCUGCAUGAAAAUCAUGUUUUUCUUGAAGGAUGCAGACUUCUUCCUGUACCACUGCUUGAAGAAGGUGUCUUACAGGAACUGGCAGUAGGACUGGGAGUUGAGCUUGACUCCAUCCUCAACCCGAAAAGGCCCCACAAGCUCAUCUUUGAUGAUACCAGCCCAAACCAGUACUCCACCUCCACCUUGCUGGCGCCUGAGUCGGACUGGAGCUCUCUGCCCUUUACCAAUCCAGCCACGGGCCCAUCCAUCUGGCCCAUCAAGACUCACUCUCAUUUCAUCAGUCCAUAAAACCUUAGAAAAAUCAGUCUUGAGAUAUUUCUUGGCCCAGUCUUGACGUUUCAGCUUGUGUGUCUUGUUCAGUGGUGGUCGUCUUUCAGCCUUUCUUACCUUGGCCAUGUCUCUGAGUAUUGCACACCUUGUGCUUUUGGGCACUCCAGUGAUGUUGCAGCUCUGAAAUAUGGCCAAACUGGUGGCAAGUGGCAUCGUGGCAGCUGCACGCUUGACUUUUCUCAGUUCAUGGGCAGUUAUUUUGCGCCUUGGUUUUUCCACACGCUUCUUGCGACCCUGUUGACUAUUUUGAAUGAAACGCUUGAUUGUUCGAUGAUCACGCUUCAGAAGCUUUGCAAUUUUAAGAGUGCUGCAUCCCUCUGCAAGAUAUCUCACUAUUUUUGACUUUUCUGAGCCUGUCAAGUCCUUCUUUUGACCCAUUUUGCCAAAGGAAAGGAAGUUGCCUAAUAAUUAUGCACACCUGAUAUAGGGUGUUGAUGUCAUUAGACCACACCCCUUCUCAUUACAGAGAUGCACAUCACCUAAUAUGCUUAAUUGGUAGUAGGCUUUCGAGCCUAUACAGCUUGGAGUAAGACAACAUGCAUAAAGAGGAUGAUGUGGUCAAAAUACUCAUUUGCCUAAUAAUUCUGCACUCCCUGUAUUCCAUUUAGGCAUUGUUUGUAAUUAAGCUGAAUGUUUAUACCAGGGGUAGGCCAUCUACGGCACUAGUGCCAUGCACGGCACUCAAGGCUGCUAGAGCCAAACAGGCUCUGGCCUAUCAGGAGUCCCAGUAAAACUUCAAAUAUCUAAUACGAAAAGAUGGUGAAGGACAAUCCUCAAUUUAAGCAUUGCAGCACAUCUCGGCUCACUUCCUCCAAGCACUUGUGAAUGGGAAUCCACACCGUAGUAGAGAAGCCAACCAUACUGCUAGAUAUACACCGAUAUUGUGGAUCAAACCAAGUGUUUAUCUGAGUAUCUGCUCCUUUCCAAAUUGUUAAAAUAAAUGCGUGCAUGCUCUGAAGUAAAUCACACUGAGACACAGGUAUCAGGUUAAUGAAAAACUUUGGAAUGUUUACUCGGGGAGUAAAGCCCCCUAUAAAGGCAAAAAUGUAGAUAACAGAGAGAAUACAUCUUUAAUUGGUUAGGUGUUAAGUGUCUUAUCUAAUGCACAUCCUACGAGGCGUGAUGUCACCAUCAUCCUGGGAUUUUACUCCGGAUGUAGGCGCCAUCUUGUUACACGAGGUAGUUAAUCGGUGGGAGGGGGUGCUCUAGCAGCUAUUUUGAGUAGAUAUUGAAUACAGGUAUACACAGUAAAUAGACAUUUUACUAUCACUAAUUUACAUUCAUAACACAGAAAUGAAGAAUAACCCUCCCCUUAUACAAAUAAUACAAACAGCCCACACACAAACAUACACACAAUCUGCACAAACGUAAACCGCUAACAAUCCACAUACAUGCACACAACCCCACAUGCAGCCUCUCACAUUCAAUACCCCAAACAGCCCACACACACUACCAAACACGCAAUGUGACAUAUCCAUCCACACACAAUUCCACAAGCAGCCCUCAUACACAGCCCACAUUCAUAUGCAUCGUACACAAUACCAUAAACUACUAAUGAACAUAUACAAUAUAAUAGCUUAUAUACGCACAAAUACAAUGAUGCAAAGCAACUGCAGUAAAAAUAACACGCAGAAUACAGCAGCAUACACACCUCAAUUUAAAAAAAUAGGACCGGCAUGCCACGGGACUUCACAAUCCUAUAUCGGCACAGUGCUGCUAAAAGGUUGCCUACCCCUGGUCUAUACGGUGCCCUAUGCUUAUGUUUUCCUAAUAUUCCAUUUUGUCAUUAUUUGAACUUGGGCUAAGUGUGUAUAUUUUGAUCAUCAUCUUUAUUCUUUUGCUUUUGGAAGUGCUUGCAACCAGCAAAAUUAGUGAGUGUAGGGUACACUCUAGGCAAUGUUAUCACACAUUAAGGCUUUUUAAAUCAGAAUAAGCUGUCUGUAAGCUUACCUUCUUUUUCAGUCUGAUUUAUUUAUUUUUUUAUAUUGGUUGGCAAACGAACCUACUGUUUCUGAUAACAGACUAACAGAUGUUUUCCCAUAAUGUACGGUGUCGAUACAAUUCAAUAUUUUUCUCUGACAGUUGGCAGGUUGUGAGGAAAUCUAAAGACAAAACUUGAACCUCGCACUUGCUUUCACGAGGGACCAUUCAUUAUCUGUGCUGUAGAGGGGUCGGAUAACGCAGACCUGAAGGAAUUGACUUGUUGGUAUGCAAAGCCACUGUGUCAGGUA
This 6017-nucleotide long non-coding RNA is filed under the name Pelobates cultripes (western spadefoot toad). The record is from RNAcentral. Lineage: Eukaryota; Metazoa; Chordata; Amphibia; Anura; Pelobatidae.